This 125-nucleotide small RNA is filed under the name Marmota monax (woodchuck). Lineage: Eukaryota; Metazoa; Chordata; Mammalia; Rodentia; Sciuridae. The record is from RNAcentral.
GCCAGGCGCAGUGCUGCACGCCUGUAAUCCCAGGGGCUCGGGAGGCUGAGGCAGAAGGAUUGCGAGUUCAAAACCAGCCUCAGUAAAAGGGAAGAAUUAAGCAACUCAGUGAGACCCUGUCUCUA